AGUCUUUGUAGUAAUACAAGGCAUACGGCUCAGUAACGCGUAGUCAACCUACCCUAUGGACAAGAAUAAUCUCGGGAAACUGAGCAUAAUUCUUGAUAGAUCAUAAUGCCUGGAAUGGUUUAUGGUUAAAAUGAUUCGUCGCCAUAGGAUGGGACUGCGGCCUAUCAGCUUGUUGGUGAGGUAAUGGCCCACCAAGGCGAUUACAGGUACGGGCUCUGAGAGGAGAAGCCCGGAGAUGGGUACUGAGACAAGGACCCAGGCCCUAUGGGGCGCAGCAGGCGAGAAAACUUUGCAAUGUGCGAAAGCACGACAAGGUUAGUCCGAGUGAUUUCUGCUAAAGAGAUCUUUUGCUAGUUAUAAAACCACUAGUGAAUAAGGGGUGGGCAAGUUCUGGUGUCAGCCGCCGCGGUAAAACCAGCACCUCAAGUGGUCAGGAUGAUUAUUGGGCCUAAAGCAUCCGUAGCCGGCUCUGUAAGUUUUCGGUUAAAUCCAUACGCUCAACGUAUGGGCUGCCGAAAAUACUGCAGAGAUAGGGAGUGGGAGAGGUAGACGGUACUCGGUAGGAAGGGGUAAAAUCCUUUGAUCUAUCGAUGACCACCUGUGGCGAAGGCGGUCUACCAGAACACGUUCGACGGUGAGG
Molecule: ribosomal RNA, 640 nt
Filed under: uncultured archaeon
Lineage: Archaea
Description: bacterial SSU rRNA
Rfam family: Archaeal small subunit ribosomal RNA
Source: RNAcentral